GUGGCAAUAGCUUAAAAGGCAGAGCAGGGCAGAGGUUUCCUAUGCGGUGGUUCGAUUCCACCUUGCCACUA
This 71-nucleotide transfer RNA is filed under the name Caudoviricetes sp. Its description in RNAcentral is "tRNA-Ser". It matches the Rfam family "tRNA". From Rfam's summary of the family: Transfer RNA (tRNA) molecules are approximately 80 nucleotides in length. Their secondary structure includes four short double-helical elements and three loops (D, anti-codon, and T loops). Lineage: Duplodnaviria; Heunggongvirae; Uroviricota; Caudoviricetes. The record is from RNAcentral.